This is a long non-coding RNA of Athene cunicularia (burrowing owl), 7840 nucleotides long. RefSeq lists it as uncharacterized. The record is from RefSeq and is a predicted model, not a curated record. Lineage: Eukaryota; Metazoa; Chordata; Aves; Strigiformes; Strigidae. The transcript is spliced from 3 exons.
AUAUAUGAUUUUUUUCCUUUAAAUAUGACAUUUUGCAAUUAGAUUUCACCCAUUUACCUGAAAGCUUUUAUGUGGCUACUUUAAAGUGCAUGAUCACAUUAGAGGGAACAUUGUUCAAAGAUUACUGUGGUAGUAGGUCAUUGGAUGGCAGUUGUGUAUCAGAGUAUAAUAUAAUUGUGUUCAGAAAGGUGGAGAUUUAAAUAAUUCACUAUGGAGUAAGUGAAAGUUCUAAUACGGUAAUUAGCUUCUCAUGUGGAAACUGAUGGUAGAAGUGUUCAAAGAAAUCAGUAUUUAUUAACCAAGAUCUAUUACUUCCUAUUAUAGAUAACCCCCUUGCUGAAUAUGUGGUGAUAGUAACUGGAACUGUUUAUCCCACCUUACUUGAUAAAACUUGGGGCAGUUUGAUUUUACUUAACUUGUAUGCUUAAAAAUAGUUUUACAUCUUCCAGUUAUGUUUCUGGUUCUGAUAAUGAUAAAAUAUCAUAUAUUUUACCUGAGCCAACAUUAACGUCUACAUGAUUGUCCUAUGAAAAAGGUAACUAAAUAAACCAGUCAGUUUCCCAAAUGAACUCAGAAUGGGAUGAAUUGAAUUGUGAGGGAAUUCAUUGUACAACUCAGAUGACUGUACUUGUUACUUGAUAAAAAAUUUACACAUUCAAUGUUAUUUUUAAAUAGGUGGUAGUGAUUUGUCAUGUAAUUGUCUACAGCUGUAGUCUUUCCAAUUUGAGAAGAAAAUUUGGAUUUUUUGAAUAAAGAUUAUUUUCUUGGAAGACAAAAUGUUAGUUAGGGUACAUGUAGAAGUGUCCGUGGAAGAAAAUCAUGCAUGUUUGAAAAGGCUGUGUAAUAUGAGAUAAAAACACUGCUCUCUUUCCCAUUGAAGUGGCAAAAGAAAGAUGCAUUUGAUUCUUGAGAUUCAUGCAGGGCAUAUUAGCAAUAUGUUUUAUAAAUUAAACCUACUAUGGAGCUUGGGAGGAAAAACACAUCAGAGUUAGAACUGCCAAAGUACCUUACGUGUGAUAAAUCAAACUGUCAUGUACGAUGUUGCUCUUAUGUAGAGAUGUUCAUAUUGAAAUGAAACAACUGCAGUACCAUUUGAUAUUUCUGUUAAAGGAAAUGCCUCAGUUAUGUACCUAUGUGAUAUGUUAACAAAAAAUUGAUGACUGUAAUUCUGGUAACUCAAAUGUCAUAUUGUUAACCAUGUGGAAUGUUUCAUGUUUUGCUCUGGUGGUAUCUGCUGCAGAGAGCCCACUGGAAAUACGAGCCCUCCAACUGUAAUUACAUUAAUGUUCAAAUAAAAAAUAGUUAAAUGGCAUAUGUGUAAUAACAAUUUGAACACUUGAAAAUAAAUGAAGACUUCAGUUCAUGCAGUGUUCUUUUUAAUAGAAAUUCAGCAGCACUAAAACUUCUUAAAUUGUUAUGGAAACUGCUGUUUGUUUCUUGCAACUACUGUAAUUUGGAAAUUUGAAAACAAUCAGCCUAUAUUUGGUCUGUGUUUGCGAGUGGUGGCUUGACUAGCCCAGAAGGAUAGAAGUUUUCCACCAUGGUAGAAAAACGAGUGUCAUGUAAAUGUGGAGGCAGCAGAUAAAAAUACACUUUCAAACAUGAAACAGAAGGAAAGCACCUGGUAAGUCACUACUGUUUAAGAAAAUGGCUGAUCAUGCUUUCCAGUGGAGUUUUUCUUAUCUGACGGUGAGUGUAAUGAUGGAUUAACCAUAUAUUAUCAUUGGUCAGUUAGGUCAGUAUAGGCUUCUUUAUCAAGGAUAUUUAUUUUUCAUGUGGUUGCUGUGACUGGUUUUUAUGGAGUGGAUUAACACUGUGGCCUUCAACCUAACAUUUUUUUCUUCAAGUAAUUUUGAUUAGCAAUUUAUAGGCUCAGAAACAGAUGUCUGACUCAAAGGGAAGAAAUGGAGGAGGGUCAUCAUGUCACACUGUUUCUCAUUCACUGCCAUCCACUUAGAGAUAGGAUUCAUCUUGGGCUGUAUCCCUUCUGUGUGUGGAACAGCAAUCUGAUAGGCAAUGUUUUUCCUGUUGAGUAUCAAGUCUGUAUGUUCCCUGCUGUCAAUAUUGUUAUGUAAAUAUGUGAAGACCUCUGAAGAUCUGAAAUAAAUGGUCCUGGGCUUAGUGAUGGUUUAUCAGGGAAGCUUUAAAUCAUGCUGUCUUGUGAGCACAGGGAGAUGCCAUUAGUCAUAGAGGUAGUUAAAGGCUGAGAACUAGGUGACAGCUGUUCUGUGCUUCACUGCACAAAAAUGUAUAAUUUUUUGUAAGAUCUGCUUAAUUUGGUUUUCAUUGUACUUCCUUUUUGCUUUCAUGAAUCCAUAUACUUGUCAUUGAUGGGAUGGUGAAAGAUGAUAUGGUUAAGUAAGAAAAACAUUUUAUGCCUCCUUGACCAGCAUGUCUAAUGGACUACAGUUGGUUAUCAGUUCACUUGGGUAGAAUUCAAUGAGAGAAAAACUGCUAAAGUAAAGAAAGGGAGAGUUGCCAGAGCAAUGAGAUGAAAACCAGCACAGAGUCACAUGGGCCACAUAGUGUCUCUUGCCUCAGGACUUCAGUAUUUCAGACAACAUUGAGCGUUUACUGCUGUAAAAUAUACAAAAAUUUGUGAAGAUAGAUUACUACAUAUGGCCUUGACUUGUCCUCUGUUGAGGUGGGCUCCACUCAUAUCUGUUGUUCUGAACGAGAAUGCAUUUACUUCGUUUGAAUAGUGCACAACUGGAAGAGACAUGACACUUUCAUCUAGAGCAUCUUGUCUCCAAAAGGUAAGAAAUGAUUGCCUGGACACAGACAAAUAGCUUCAAGACCUUCCAAGACGUGUACGAGUGUAGCCAGCCACUAGAUGUCAGCAUUAUGUUAUAUAUUAACAGCCAAGAUACCAAUUGGCCAUUCCUGCUUAGAAUGUGCUGGUGCCAAGUUAACUUCUGACAACAGGAGACUUGGUAACUAGUACCAAGAGGCUACAGUCUUUUGUAUUUAUGAAGUGCUCAGUGAAACCCACGUUGCUAGCAGCAUACCCGGGUGAACAUUCCUAAUAAUUUCCCACAUUUUAGUCCACAUGAAAAAGCCAUUGAUAUCUGCUAAAAAAGCCAAGAAGACAGUGAGAUUUAGUAAGAAUUUUGAAGUUCAGCUGUGUUUCCAUUCAAGCAUGGAUCGAUCGAUCAAAGAGGCAAGGGAGGUAACUCCCUGCCAACAAAAAUGCUUUUGUAUCACGGAGCUCCUCAGCAAAGCCGAAGAGCUUUUGAGUGCAGAUGGGGGCUGCAUCUAGGGAGGAAGCUGGCUAAACCGUUCUAGUGUCGCACUGAUGCAGAAAAGAUAGUCCUGUUCCUCUCUUCAUUUCUCUUCAAGUGGCUAAUGUGGCAGAGAAAUAACCCAGCAGAAACUAGUAAAUAGUUUUCUUUUGGGGUGAAGGUGGUCCCUCUCUCUUCAGAUGAAUGCCUGUCAGCACCAAGGGUGAGACUGUGCAGCUGAGAGCGGGGAGGAAGAAAGGCAGAGAGGCAACUUUUUGACAAAUGCAAGUCACUAUUUUUUUCUAAUUUGUUUGCUGUCUUUGGCCAAGAGGCACACUAGCUACCUGUCCUGUACAAGACGAUUUCCAUUCCUUCUUGUUCCUCCUGUUUUUCAUGGCUAUUCCUUCCUGUUUCUGCCUUAUCAAAGAUGCUGGGUCGAGCUCUGCAAGGGUCUUAGGCAGUUUUCUAACUUUGUGCCAGUUUUCUUGUCCUCAAGAGAGGACUAAUCCAUUGUUUCACUAAUCCAUCUCUUCCCAUUCACAUCACUCUUAAACAUUUCCUUUUUCUGUAUUUCCCACAGUAAGUGAUUUUUAGAAGUGCAAUUAACUCUUUCUGUAUUUCUAGCCUUGUAUCAUAUCUUCAUUGUGUUUUUUUGUGCAGUCAUUGCGUUUGUGUUGGCAGAUCUCUUUAUCCAUCUUGACAUAAGGGGUAUGAGAGGACUUAAGAGUUGGCUGGAACAAAUGGCAGAGGGCCUGCAACUGUAAAUCCAUUCAGACAAGUGUUCUCUGGUGAAGAACUGAAUACAACAUCAGUGCUUAACAACUAAUAAAGAAUAACAUGAUAAUAGCUCAUCUCAGACUCUACUUCAUGUCAGCAUUGAAACUACCUCUGCUGACUUGAGGGAUGCAUAAACGCCCAUUCUCUUCUUUUUUGGUAUAUUGUUAUGUUUCUCAUGUUGCAUAGGUACUACACAGUUCAUAAUUUUAAGUGGUUUAUAACAUUUUGGAUUUUAUGUUGGCUUUUGAACACUUCUGCUAGGCAGAUCUUUUGCUGAACUAUUUUAUCUAGUACCAUUAUUCAUUUGGGGUAAAUCCCACGUGAGUUUCUGGAGAAAGGAAAGAAGUUUGUCCCUGUGGCUUCCAAAUCCCUCUGUCUCAAAUGUAUCCAAGAUGAAGAAGUUUUGAAUUGUGAUUGAAUCCUAUACUCCCUGAAGCCCUUGUAUGUUUUGCAAAAUUGUUAGGUUUGGUAAAAACCAGUAAAUACCAGACAUACACUUUAUUUUGAGUUAGGAAUUUCAUAUCCUUCUGGAAUAAAAUACUUUAUUUCCCACACGUUUUAACUAUGUUAUAUUGGCGCCAUUCAUGUCACUCCACUUAAAAUUGUGUCAGCAUUCUCAUUAUUAUUUGUUUUUCAGAAGUUAUAACUUGAAUGUAAAAAUUUGGUUCCACUUAGAAGCUUGGUUUCAGACCAGAAGUAAUUACAAAAAAUAAAUACAGAUUUUUCCAUGUAAUUUGUGUUGUUGUUUCAGGAGGGGAAGGGAGAAGAAAAAAAAAUUAGCACUGAAAAAUGACUAAGUGUGCAUUAUAAUUUGUUCUACUUAGACCAAUUAAAUGAUGGGAAAAAUCAGAGUUUGUCAAUUUUGUUAAGCUGUAGUAAGCUGCAAUAUCUUUUUUUUUUUAGUUUUAUAGGUUUGUUAGGUGGAAAGAUGAAGAGAAAUAGAUCUGAAUGUGUAUGACAAGAUACAUCUAAUUCCUGCUUCUAUGGGUCUGCAGUAGAAUCCCUUUAGCAUCUUUCAAAAGCUGAGAGGAUUGGACAUAUUGAGAGUCUCCACCUCUACUCUAACAUUUAAAUCCCAUUCAUUUGAAAGUGCUUCAGCCACUGAGUUUAUUAUACCUCUUAUGUGUCUCGGAAAUUAUAAUAUAUGUACCUGGGGCACAGGAAGACAUUAUAUAGGACCAAGUUAUGGUAUAACUAAACAACUCUAAUUUUUGUGGUAGGUGCAUGGGGACCAACUGCCUGGGGAGAGCAGAUGGACAGAAGGGAGAUGAGGUGCCACAGGUGGAGCAUGUCUCAGGGGGAAUUGCAGCCAGAACAUGCUGCUUAUAGGGCUUCAAAAUAUAUCUAUUUUGUUACUGAUAACUGGUUUACUGAAGUUCCAGUGACUCUUGAGUGUUGUAGGAUCAAAGACAGAAAAAAAGCAAUACGAGUGUUUUGUUUAGAUUUGUUGAAAAAGCUCUGGAACAGUGCAGUUAAUGAACACCUUGUCAUGUAUACUUACAGAAAGCUUCAGGAAAAAGACUAGUUAUAAAAUACAAGGGGGAAGCCAGGUAAAUAUUUUGUAUGAUAGAAGUGGGAAGGAACAUUUCUUUAAUAAAUCUACUGCUAAAGGUAUUUUUUACUUUACAUUUCAGCAAGUAAGUAUUACGUGUAGUUAGGAGUUGCAACAGUGGUAAUUGCUAAGGAUAACUGGGCAAAUACCUUUACUGACCAACACAGACUUUAAGCUGAAAAAAGAUGGCUCUCUUGUUAAAGUGCAAUGUGAAAAAUAAAACAGACUCUCAUGUUUAAAACCCAAUGACUGUAGAGUGUUUUAUGCUUUCCAGCUUGUAUAGAAUUUAGGGAGAUAAAGGGAGACCUUGCACCCAGUGUGAGGUCUCAGACAGUAUUGGGUCUUUCUGAUUUUUCUAAACAUAAAGAAAUGCAAAAAAGCUCAAAUUGGCAAUCUGAGAAAUGUACCAUCCAAAAAAAAUGAUGAAUUUAAGGUUCAUCCUGAAGAAAAAUCAGAUGACAUCUGUGAAACAAAGAGCUGAGCAUUCAGGAACAUGAGUAAUAGUGGAUGGAGCUGGAGAAACCAGUGUGGAAGCGUGAUGCCUUUCUCUCCCUCAUGGAGUUCCGGAUUUGCUGUGCAUGCUUGGGUAAUUUGUUAUGUCAAGGUAGUUUCUUUGGAUUGAAGCAAGAUCUAGGAUUAACUGGUAAAUACCUAAUGAGUGCUCUAGUCUAGUAAAUACAGUGGCAAAUAACUGUACAGAAGAACCAGUCACCUGAGUUUUCAGGAUCUCCAUGAGAAGAGGUGAGGAUCUUGAGAUCAGAGGGAGGGCCAUUUAUGUGGCUUUGCUCCUGAUGAUGAGAGGCUUUAUUUGUGAUGGCAACUGGUCAAGGGAAGUGGUCCUUCCCCUUCAACUGGCAGUGCUGAAGCUCAGCUGGAAUGCUGGGUCCAGUGCUGGGCACCUAAGCAUGAGAGAAGUUGAUCUACUGAUGUAAGUCCAGUGAAGAGCCACAAAGAUGAUGAAGAGACUGGAGCAUCAUCUGUCCUGCGUGGAGAGACUGAGAGGUCUGGGUCUGCUCAGCCUGGAGCAGGAAAGCUUUAGGUGGGAUUAUUGAUACAUAUAAUCCCUGAUGAAGAGGAAUAAAGAAGUCAGAGCCAGAUUCCUCUUAGAGAAAGGAAGGACAAGAGGCAACGCGCGCACAUGUGAAAUACUGGAAAUUUUAUUUAAACAUACAAAAGCUUUUCUUCAAAGGGCAAUCCAACACUGGAAUAAGUUCUCCUGAGCCUGUAUGGUCAUGAUCCUGGUCAACCUGCUCUAUUUAAAACCAUGGAGGAGGGGGAUUGCUCUAGAUGAUAUCCAGAGGUUCCUUCCAACCACAUCCUUUUGGUGAAACAUUGACUCAUUGGGAAGUAGAUCACAGAGCUGGGGCUAGCCAAGCCCCUUACAAAAGAUUUAACAAAAAUAAACUUCCACUAAAUAUUUGGUUUCCAACAAUGUGUUUUUGAGUCAGGAAACAAACCAGUCUGACUUAUCACAGCAACUAAGAGAGUGAAAACCAGGCUCAGAAACCAUGGAGAGUCAAGGAUCCUCAGUGUCAUGGGUGUCAGUAGUUUUUUAGUCAGUAUAAGUUUAGCCUUGUGUGGGAAAUGACCUGUAAAUCCCCAAAAACAGAGCCUGAGAGAAACAGGUGUGUGAGGAAAAAAAAUGCCUGAGAGAGGUAAGGGAUGGAGGGGGGAGUGGAGGCCCUCUGAGCUGAGGAAUACCUCGAACACUCACAAGUAGUGAAAUGACAGUCACAGGGUGGAUCAUGUGGAGUUUGGGGCUGAUAAGGCUGCCUGGAUAGCACAGGGUGGGCUGGAGGAGGGAGCCCUGAGGAGACAGGAGGGCUCUGCUCUGGUGCAUCUUGUAUUUCAGGGGUCAUCUUCCCAGUGAAUGACCUUUUCUCCGUUAUCCAGGAAAUUAAUAUUAAAGUUGACACCCCAGAAUAUGCUAAUUAAUAACAUGAUCAUGCUAAUGACAUCAUCCCAUGAAGCACUUUACCCCUCCCCAUACAUGGGAUAAGCAGGUAUGCGGGUUGACCUGGGGGAUGGACCCCAAGGAAAUCACUUUCCCCCCCCAAGGAGUGAGAGAGAAAGGAAGAAUAAGACAUGAAGAAGAUGGAUUCUUCCUUGAACUCUUGCUGGUGGGAUUGAUGCAGGAACCCAGGCUGAUGAUCUCUACUUCCACCUUUCCAUCUCUCAUCUUUUUCCACUUUCUCUUAUUACUGUUAAGCAAUGCAAGGCAUACUAUUUGCCUUGCCAUACUAUUGCUUGCCAUAACUCAUUAUGUACUUAUCCAAUUAUUGUGUAUCCA